AGUAGUCAUAUGCUUGUCUCAAAGAUUAAGCCAUGCAUGUCUAAGUAUAAACAACUUUAUACUGUGAAACUGCGAACGGCUCAUUAUAUCAGCAAUAAUUUAUUUGAUGGUUCCUUACUACACGGAUAACUGUAGUAAUUCUAGAGCUAAUACGUGCGUAAAAUCCCGACUCUUGCGGGGAGGGAUGUAUUUAUUAGAUAAAAAGCCAGCGCGGGUUCUGCCCGGUUUUGUGGUGAAUCAUAGUAACUUUUCGAAUCGCAUGGCUUCACGCCGGCGAUAGUUCAUUCAAAUUUCUGCCCUAUCAGCUUUCGACGGUAGUGUAGUGGACUACCGUGGCAUUAACGGGUAACGGAGAAUUAGGGUUCGAUUCCGGAGAGGGAGCCUGAGAAACGGCUACCACAUCCAAGGAAGGCAGCAGGCGCGCAAAUUACCCAAUUCUGACACAGAGAGGUAGUGACAAAAAAUAACAAUACCUGGCUUCUUUAGGUCGGGUAAUUGCAAUGAGUACAAUUUAAAUCCCUUAACGAGGAUCCAUUGGAGGGC
Molecule: ribosomal RNA, 543 nt
Filed under: uncultured marine eukaryote
Lineage: Eukaryota
Description: SSU rRNA
Rfam family: Eukaryotic small subunit ribosomal RNA
Source: RNAcentral